Gopherus evgoodei (Goodes thornscrub tortoise) is the source of this 1516-nucleotide long non-coding RNA. RefSeq lists it as uncharacterized. NCBI's taxonomy places the organism in Eukaryota, Metazoa, Chordata, Testudines, Testudinidae. The transcript has 4 exons. The record is from RefSeq and is a predicted model, not a curated record.
CGGUAUGAAAAGUUUUACAUGAAUUUAACUGUUAUUCAUCCUCUAAGAGGUGAAUUCAUGACAGUGCGGAGCUGACUGAUUACAGAUGCCUGACAUCUUUUUAUCUAUUGUUUUAGGUGGCUGCGAUAGGCUCAGCUCUGACAGGAGAUACCAAAGAAACUGAAUUCAGAACUUGGCAACCUAACUGGAUAAUAAAACUGUAGUCCCAAUCCUGCAAACCUUCUAAAUGUAGAACUCACGGAUGUCUAUGGAAGUUCUGCAUAAGCUUACAGAAUCAGGCCAUAUGUUAACAGGAUCAGGAAUGUCAAGAUUUGAUGGAGGACCUUAGAUGUUGAUUGGAAGAUCUUACGUGCUAACAGGACAGUUUUGUUUAGGUGUGCCCAGUGAGCAGACAAGCCAUGAGUUCUGCACCACCACAGCGACAACAGAAAGAAGGGGUCCUUGCGUCAAAGGGCGCAGCCACAAUUGAGGCCAAAUGCUGCAAUUUGUCAGGAUUGCUGCACUGCUGUUUGCGCACGCAUGCAUAAAACAGCAGAUUGUUCCAGACACACAGUGUUAGGUGCAGGCAGACAUGAAACAAGUCAGUCUUUAGCCUAAGCAUUCUUCCUAGGAAAAGAUUUUAGCCUGAUUGCGGCUCAUGUUGCAAAUAAGUCUUUAUGAUAGUGACACACUUGGUUGGAAGUUAAAACAAAACAGAAUGCAAGAGAGAAGUGAAGUUCAGGUAUAUUUGUAUUCAAGGCACUAUUUUAGAGAGAGACCAGUGAAGGGGCAGUGAUUUUGUUAGAAGAACCAUCACUGUAAGUACUUUACAUUUCUUUUAAAAAACAUAGCCUCUCACUUACCAUGUUUUUUUAAAAACCAACUUUGAACAGCCCUCAAACACUGCUUUAUUGCUGGAAAGCUGCUCUCAUGGCAUAACUCUCUUACUUGUCAUUUAAGGACAGUCCCCCAAAGGGUUAAAUAGGAGUUUCUGGAUGAAUGUUCAGUAUUUGAAAAGUGUGAGCUCUGGUGAUGUGGAUAAGCCUUGCCCAAAAUUAUAUGGUAUGUGAGAGUGCUGUUUUAGCUUCUGACCUCAUCCCUGCCACGUGAAGCAUUCAGUUAAAUAUAGAUUUCAAUGCCCAAUCCACAAUGAUAUUUUUCUCACCGUAGGUGAGCAAAGCCUAUUAAAUAGGGUGUCACCGCCCUGAAUCCCAAGUCUCCUGUAUGCUCCAGUACCUUCCAUUUAUUAGCAGGCUUCUUAGGUUAGAAGCAGCUAGCUCUACAGCAUCCUUAGCAAACCUCUGCUUCUCUAGCAAAGCUGCAUUUUCUGCUACCGUUAAACUAGGCAGAGGCAAAACAAUUUUAUGUAAAACCGAGCGAGUAACUUCAUUCAGAACAAUCAAUGUCAAUUCAGCACAGUGAAAACAAUGCAGGAGGGGCUUCACUAGAGAGAGGAGGUCUACACAUUAAAAAACAAAACAUGAGAACAAGAAAAUAUCAGAAGGGUAAAUACUGGGAAAAUAAACAUCUAUCAGGA